CCUACGGGUGGCAGCAGUGGGGAAUAUUGCACAAUGGGGGAAACCCUGAUGCAGCGACGCCGCGUGAGUGAAGAAGUACCUCGGUAUGUAAAGCCCUAUCAGCAGGGAAGAAAAUGACGGUACCUGAGUAAGAAGCCCCGGCUAACUACGUGCCAGCAGCCGCUGUAAUACGUAGGGGGCAAGCGUUAUCCGGAUUUACUGGGUGUAAAGGGGGCUUAGACGGGAGCAAAAGGCUGGAGGGAAAUGCCGGGGGUUAACCCCGGAACUGCCGUGGAAACUGUGCGGCUUGAGUGCAGGAGGGGUAAGCGGAAUGCGUGGUGUAGCGGUGAAAUGCGUAGAUAUUAGGAGGAACACCGGUGGCGAAGGCGGCUUACCGGACUGCAACUGACGUUGAGGCUCGAAAGCGUGGGGAGCGAACAGGAUUAGAUACCCGAGUAGUC
Molecule: ribosomal RNA, 440 nt
Filed under: uncultured bacterium
Lineage: Bacteria
Description: partial 16S ribosomal RNA
Rfam family: Bacterial small subunit ribosomal RNA
Source: RNAcentral